RNAcentral lists this ribosomal RNA (210 nucleotides) under uncultured bacterium. RNAcentral's name for it is "partial 16S ribosomal RNA". It matches the Rfam family "Bacterial small subunit ribosomal RNA", at positions 568 to 774 of the family's 1533-position model. The record is from RNAcentral.
UGCGCAGGCGGUUUGUUAAGACAGGUGUGAAAUCCCGGGCUUAACCUGGGAACUGCGCUUGUUACUGGCAGACUUGAGUGUGGCAGAGGGGGGUGGGAAUUCCAGGUGUAGCAGUGAAAUGCGUAGAGAUCUGGAGGAACACCGAUGGCGAAGGCAGCCCCCUCGGGUUAACACUGACGCUCAUGCACGAAAAGCGUGGGGGAGCAAACA